AACGAACGCUGGCGGCAUGCCUAACACAUGCAAGUCGAACGAAGCCUUCGGGCUUAGUGGCGCACGGGUGCGUAACACGUGGGAAUCUGCCCUUCGGUUCGGAAUAACAGUUAGAAAUGACUGCUAAUACCGGAUGAUGACGAAAGUCCAAAGAUUUAUCGCCGAAGGAUGAGCCCGCGUAGGAUUAGGUAGUUGGUAGGGUAAUGGCCUACCAAGCCGACGAUCCUUAGCUGGUCUGAGAGGAUGAUCAGCCACACUGGGACUGAGACACGGCCCAGACUCCUACGGGAGGCAGCAGUGGGGAAUAUUGGACAAUGGGCGAAAGCCUGAUCCAGCAAUGCCGCGUGAGUGAUGAAGGCCUUAGGGUUGUAAAGCUCUUUUACCAGGGAGUGAUAAUGACAGUACCUGGAGAAUAAGCUCCGGCUAACUCCGUGCCAGCAGCCGCGGUAAU
RNAcentral lists this ribosomal RNA (451 nucleotides) under uncultured bacterium. Its description in RNAcentral is "bacterial SSU rRNA". It matches the Rfam family "Bacterial small subunit ribosomal RNA", at positions 29 to 524 of the family's 1533-position model. The record is from RNAcentral.